Non-coding RNA from Pelobates cultripes (western spadefoot toad), 218 nucleotides. Lineage: Eukaryota; Metazoa; Chordata; Amphibia; Anura; Pelobatidae. The record is from the annotation of a GenBank genome assembly.
CAUAGGUCUUUUGAUAUAUUAGAUAUCCCAGACAAGUCUAAUCUAAAUUAAGAGGUGUUAACCGAGUGAUUAAGGAAGCAUACUGUGAAGGGAUCUUUAAUCACUGUUCUGUGUGUUUAAAAAGUUCAGAUACCAAGUUUGUUGUGACUUGGCUAACUUUUGAUAUGCAAACUUGCCAUUUAUAUAAUUUAUGUGAUAGUGUUUAUAUUGAGUGAAAG